This is an RNA transcript of Dreissena polymorpha, 1431 nucleotides long. RefSeq lists it as uncharacterized. The record is from RefSeq and is a predicted model, not a curated record. The transcript has 4 exons. NCBI's taxonomy places the organism in Eukaryota, Metazoa, Mollusca, Bivalvia, Myida, Dreissenidae.
UCUGUGCAAAUACAAGCGUUUAUUGAUAACGAAACGAUAAUGUGUCAACAAUGAGAAUCAGAUACUUGGCUUAAUAAUUUUCAUUUAAAAUGUCUAAUUUGGAUAUAAUUCGGAAUACAAAACGAAACUUAAAAGUUUUUUUUUAAACGUUCCAAAGAACAAUAUGGAUUUCAAUAGAAAUACUAUUUCCACCGACAAUCAAGAUUUCCGGUAUGACCACUGUUAUUUUGACGAUUUUUCUAUCGGAUCGUCGGUAAGCGUGACCACAUGUGACAACAGCGAUGCCAGUUGGAAAAUUAGUAGACGUGUCGUUGAACUCGACACAUUGGCCGAAUCGCUUUCAGCAUGCAGUUCUUGCCAAGUGCCCAUGAAUUUACUUAACACAGUAGGAAGCAGGGAUUUCGGACAGGCAUGUGUUUUGGAAAUACAGUGUAGCAAUUGUGGUGCCAUCAAUAAUGUGGCUUCUGGACGGAAACAUGACAGAGUUUAUGACAUGAACACAAAGCUUGCAUUAGGUAAAUCACAAACUGGGUGUUUCACCUGGGACUUUCACAUCGAAAAUGGCCCUUCCCCGUGACCUCCAGCACAAAAAAGAAAGGCUAUAGCUGUUGCUCGUGCAGCAAAACAGCGACGCAUAAGACUAAAAACUGGAACGGCAUUCAAAGGACAGUGCAAGAAGUACGAGCGGGACCAAUAUACUGUUCAAACAUAGAGGACCAAGAUGUUGAAGUUACAACUUUACCCCCACCUGUACCCAAGCCUCGUCCAGCAGGGCUAGACACUACUGGGAAGGAAUUUGUUUUCUUUGAUUUGGAAACAAGAGGGUUAGAGCGUACUUCUCACAUAAUUCAGAUAGCUGCAGUGCAUUCAACUGGUCAGUUUUCAACAUAUGUGAUGCCUGAGAAGAAGAUGUCCUUGAAAGCGUCAGAAAUAACUGGAGUGACAGUUGUUGGCGACUCUAUGCUUGUUAAGGGACAUAAAGUAACAGCUGUCCCCAUCAAAUCUGCAUUGACAAGUUUUAUAACAUUCUUACAGAAAUUUUCACCAGAAAUUUUAGUUGGGCAUAACAUAGAGUGUAUUUGAUUGUAGUGUUGCUUUGAACAUCAACAUGUUUUUUUUCAUGUGUUACAUCUGAAAUAUUUCCAUAAGUAUGUACCGGGUAUAUAAUAAAUAUUUCUACGUGUAUCAAAUUUCAGUUGAUAACUUUAUUUGUUAUGGAGCAGUUAUUAUAAAGAUUUGUUUUAAUUACUAUUACAAUGUGAGUAAUUAUAUUUUUGAAAUUAAGUCCAUAUUAAAAGGUCUGUAGCCAAAAAAAAUCCACGGUGACCUAUCAAUUUCUUAAAUUCAUUUUUAUGCUAAGCUAGUUUACUUUAAUUAUUGAGAACUUCAAAUGAAUAUGAAAAUUACAUCAACAGAAAUUUGUAUCUGUAU